UACGUAGGGUCCGAGCGUUGUCCGGAAUCAUUGGGCGUAAAGAGCGCGUAGGCGGUCCGAUAAGUCGGCUGUGAAAGUCAGGGGCUCAACCCUUGAAAGCCGGCCGAUACUGUCGGACUAGAGUUCGGAAGAGGCGAGUGGAAUUCCCGGUGUAGCGGUGAAAUGCGCAGAUAUCGGGAGGAACACCAAUGGCGAAGGCAGCUCGCUGGGACGUGACUGACGCUGAGGCGCGAAAGCCAGGGGAGCGAACGGG
This 253-nucleotide ribosomal RNA is filed under the name uncultured bacterium. RNAcentral's name for it is "partial 16S ribosomal RNA". It matches the Rfam family "Bacterial small subunit ribosomal RNA", at positions 524 to 776 of the family's 1533-position model. The record is from RNAcentral.